Arabidopsis thaliana (thale cress) is the source of this 496-nucleotide non-coding RNA. Lineage: Eukaryota; Viridiplantae; Streptophyta; Magnoliopsida; Brassicales; Brassicaceae. The record is from RefSeq.
CAUCACUUCAGAGCAAAAGCAUCAUAUAUAUCAUUCCUCUUCUUCUUGAUUAGGAUCAUGAUGAUCAUCAUCAUAAUCAUCAUGAUAUUUAUGAUCAUAAUGAUGAUCGUUUCUCUCUUUCAACUUUUUCUAUCUUCUCCACUACAUCAUGGUUGUACUUUCGAACGUGUGACUAUCUCACGGAGAAGAAGAUUUCUUGGACAUUAGUGUUCCAUUGGCAUUAUCCUCGCUGAGCUUUUUUUUUUCUCUAUGAAAACAGAAAAAAACAAAAAAUAGUUUUGUUUCUACUAAAUCAGAAAGUUCUUCUAUAAUUUAGAAGAUUUUUCUUGACCUUGCAAGGCUUAUUAGUUUUGUAUUGUUCUUUUAUUUUCUUUUAUCUUCUCUUCAUUUUUGUAUUUUAUUUUGUAUUGGUUUGUUGUUUCUAUUCCUCCUGAGCUUUAUGUAUAAUUCACUACUAAUCCCAUAAUUUCUCAGUUAUUAGUUCCUCUGAAACGUC